RNAcentral lists this ribosomal RNA (253 nucleotides) under uncultured bacterium. Its description in RNAcentral is "partial 16S ribosomal RNA". It matches the Rfam family "Bacterial small subunit ribosomal RNA", at positions 524 to 776 of the family's 1533-position model. The record is from RNAcentral.
UACGGGGGGGGCAAGCGUUGUUCGGAAUUACUGGGCGUAAAGGGCUCGUAGGUGGCCAACUAAGUCAGACGUGAAAUCCCUCGGCUUAACCGGGGAACUGCGUCUGAUACUGGAUGGCUUGAGUUCGGGAGAGGGAUGCGGAAUUCCAGGUGUAGCGGUGAAAUGCGCAGAUAUCAGGAGGAACACCAAUGGCGAAGGCAGCACUCUGGGACGUGACUGACGCUGAGACGCGAAAGCGUGGGGAGCAAACAGG